GUGGGGAAUAUUGGACAAUGGGGGGAACCCUGAUCCAGCCAUGCCGCGUGUGUGAAGAAGGCCCUUUGGUUGUAAAGCACUUUAAGCGAGGAGGAGGCUACCGAGAUUAAUACUCUUGGAUAGUGGACGUUACUCGCAGAAUAAGCACCGGCUAACUCUGUGCCAGCAGCCGCGGUAAUACAGAGGGUGCAAGCGUUAAUCGGAUUUACUGGGCGUAAAGCGCGCGUAGGUGGCCAAUUAAGUCAAAUGUGAAAUCACCGAGCUUAACUUGGGAAUUGCAUUCGAUACUGGUUGGCUAGAGUAUGGGAGAGGAUGGUAGAAUUCCAGGUGUAGCGGUGAAAUGCGUAGAGAUCUGGAGGAAUACCGAUGGCGAAGGCAGCCAUCUGGCCUAAUACUGACACUGAGGUGCGAAAGCAUGGGGAGCAAACAGGAUUAGAAACCCCGGUAGUCC
This 451-nucleotide ribosomal RNA is filed under the name uncultured bacterium. RNAcentral describes it as "partial 16S ribosomal RNA". It matches the Rfam family "Bacterial small subunit ribosomal RNA", at positions 354 to 796 of the family's 1533-position model. The record is from RNAcentral.